RNAcentral lists this ribosomal RNA (465 nucleotides) under uncultured bacterium. Its description in RNAcentral is "partial 16S ribosomal RNA". It matches the Rfam family "Bacterial small subunit ribosomal RNA", at positions 338 to 795 of the family's 1533-position model. The record is from RNAcentral.
CCUACGGGAGGCAGCAGUGGGGAAUUUUGCGCAAUGCUCGUAAGAGUGACGCAGCGACGCCGCGUGAAUGACGAAGGCCUUCGGGUCGUAAAGUUCUUUCGACAGGGAAGAAAAUGCCUAUAAGUAACUGUGUAUGUAUUGACGGUACCUGUUUAAGCAGCCACGGCUAACUACGUGCCAGCAGCCGCGGUAAUACGGAGGGGGCGAGCGUUGUUCGGAGUGACUGGGCGUAAAGAGCACGUAGGCGGUGUUGUAAGUCAUUAGUCAAAGGCUAGGGCUCAACUGUGGUAAGGCUGGGGAGACUGGAAUACUAGAGUAUCAGAGAGGAUUGUAGAAUUCCAUGUGUAGCGGUGAAAUGCGUAGAGAUAAGGAGGAAUACCAUUAGCGAAGGCGACAAUCUGGCUGGAAACUGACGCUGAGGUGCGAAAGCGUGGGUAGCAAACAGGAUUAGAUACCCGAGUAGUC